CCUACGGGAGGCUGCAGUGGGGAAUAUUGCACAAUGGGCGCAAGCCUGAUGCAGCCAUGCCGCGUGUGUGAAGAAGGCCUUCGGGUUGUAAAGCACUUUCAGCGGGGAGGAAGGCGUUAAGGUUAAUAACCUUGGCGAUUGACGUUACCCGCAGAAGAAGCACCGGCUAACUCCGUGCCAGCAGCCGCGGUAAUACGGAGGGUGCAAGCGUUAAUCGGAAUUACUGGGCGUAAAGCGCACGCAGGCGGUCUGUCAUGUCGGAUGUGAAAUCCCCGGGCUCAACCUGGGAACUGCAUUCGAAACUGGCAGGCUAGAGUCUUGUAGAGGGGGGUAGAAUCCCAGGUGUAGCGGUGAAAUGCGUAGAGAUCUGGAGGAAUACCGGUGGCGAAGGCGGCCCCCUGGACAAAGACUGACGCUCAGGUGCGAAAGCGUGGGGAGCAAACAGGAUUAGAUACCCGGGUAGUC
RNAcentral lists this ribosomal RNA (465 nucleotides) under uncultured Klebsiella sp. RNAcentral's name for it is "bacterial SSU rRNA". It matches the Rfam family "Bacterial small subunit ribosomal RNA", at positions 338 to 795 of the family's 1533-position model. Lineage: Bacteria; Pseudomonadati; Pseudomonadota; Gammaproteobacteria; Enterobacterales; Enterobacteriaceae. The record is from RNAcentral.